UACGUAGGGUGCAAGCGUUGUCCGGAAUUAUUGGGCGUAAAGAGCUCGUAGGCGGUCUGUCACGUCGGCUGUGAAAACUCGGGGCUCAACCCCGAGCCUGCAGUCGAUACGGGCAGACUAGAGUCCGGCAGGGGAGACUGGAAUUCCUGGUGUAGCGGUGAAAUGCGCAGAUAUCGGGAGGAACACCGGUGGCGAAGGCGGUUCUCUGGGCCUGUACUGACGCUGAGGAGCGAAAGCGUGGGGAGCGAACAGG
RNAcentral lists this ribosomal RNA (253 nucleotides) under uncultured bacterium. RNAcentral describes it as "partial 16S ribosomal RNA". It matches the Rfam family "Bacterial small subunit ribosomal RNA", at positions 524 to 776 of the family's 1533-position model. The record is from RNAcentral.